RNAcentral lists this ribosomal RNA (533 nucleotides) under uncultured bacterium. RNAcentral describes it as "bacterial SSU rRNA". It matches the Rfam family "Bacterial small subunit ribosomal RNA", at positions 978 to 1509 of the family's 1533-position model. The record is from RNAcentral.
CUCUUGACAUCCAGAGAACUUGGCAGAGAUGCCCUCGGUGCCCUUCGGGAACUCUGAGACAGGUGCUGCAUGGGCUGUCGUCAGCUCGUGUUGUGAAAUGUUGGGUUAAGUCCGCAACGAGCGCAACCCCUAUCCUUUGUUGCCAGCGAUUCGGUCGGGAACUCAAAGGAGACUGCCGGUGAUAAACCGGAGGAAGGUGGGGAUGACGUCAAGUCAUCAUGGCCCUUACGAGUAGGGCUACACACGUGCUACAAUGGCGUAUACAAAGAGAAGCGACCUCGCGAGAGCAAGCGGACCUCAUAAAGUACGUCGUAGUCCGGAUUGGAGUCUGCAACUCGACUCCACGAAGUCGGAAUCGCUAGUAAUCGUAGAUCAGAAUGCUACGGUGAAUACGUUCCCGGGCCUUGUACACACCGCCCGUCACACCAUGGGAGUGGGUUGCAAAAGAAGUAGAUAGCUUAACCUUCGGGAGGGCGUUUACCACUUUGUGAUUCAUGACUGGGGUGAAGUCGUAACAAGGUAAGCGUACGUGU